Molecule: long non-coding RNA, 962 nt
Organism: Bos indicus x Bos taurus (hybrid cattle)
Lineage: Eukaryota; Metazoa; Chordata; Mammalia; Artiodactyla; Bovidae
Source: Ensembl
AAGAGAUUAAAACUCACCUUAUCAAAUUUGCUUUGACCCAUGACUGCCUCUUGUCAUGGGUAGCUGAUAAGAACCCACCUGCAGUGUGGGAGACUUGGGUUUGAUCCCUGGGUUGGGAAGAUCCCCUGGAGAAGGGAAUGGUUACCCACUCCAGUAUUCUGGCCUGGAGAAUUCCAUGGACUGUAUAGUCCGUGGGGUCACAAAGAGUCGGAUAUGACUGAGCGACUUUCACUUUCAUGACUGCCUGAAUAUCCCUCUUUACCCCCAAGCUGCUAACAAAACUAAGGCAAUACAAUUGUGUGUGAGGAGCAGCUAAUAAACUUGCUGACUGCUGCUUCUGACAGAGUUGCAUGUGCACUGGAUAAUUGAUUCACAUUUCUUGCCCCUUUACAUGACUACAUCUUCUGUGAGAUCUCAGGGAAAUAGGUUGAAUUAAGUCAUAUAAAGAACUGUUUUCCUCUCAUAGGUAAACUUCUAGGAGUAAUCCUAUUAGGAAGUUUUAUUGAUACAUUAACCAGCAUGGUUAUUGGUGCUCAGAAUAAAGACAAGCCUGGAAAGGUGAAAUCAACAGUCUUCAUCACAGGUGAGAAAACAGAAGCUCUGAAGUUAAUCCGUCCCCCAAGACUGAUGCUGGAGAAGAGCAAGUGAAACAAGUGUCCUGAUGUCCAGAGGAUAAAUGGUAUCCAGAGACAAUGCACUCUGUUCCAGUCCUCUCCCCCUAUCUGGGUUUGAUAAUUGCUGAGAAAUGAUAAAUACAUAAUUGGAACACUCUUACAUACUCCAUGCACAACAGAUAAAGUUAGUUACUAACAGUAAAGUUAGUAACUUAGGACAAAAUUGGAAUAGAAACAUUCUCUGGCAACUGUUACCCCUUCUCAUUAGUUGGUGCCUAGAGGAUAUGUAUACUUCUUAAUUCCAGCUUUGCCUUACCUCUGAGCAGACAGGAAUGACCAAGAGGUAAU